RNAcentral lists this ribosomal RNA (259 nucleotides) under uncultured bacterium. RNAcentral describes it as "partial 16S ribosomal RNA". It matches the Rfam family "Bacterial small subunit ribosomal RNA", at positions 524 to 783 of the family's 1533-position model. The record is from RNAcentral.
GACGUAGGGCGCGAGCGUUGUCCGGAUUUAUUGGGCGUAAAGAGCUCGUAGGCGGCCUGUUACGUCUGCUGUGAAAUCCCGGGGCUUAACCCCGGGCGUGCAGUGGAUACGGGCAGGCUGGAGGCAGGCAGGGGAGAACGGAAUUCCCGGUGUAGCGGUGAAAUGCGCAGAUAUCGGGAGGAACACCGGUGGCGAAGGCGGUUCUCUGGGCCUGUACUGACGCUGAGGAGCGAAAGCGUGGGGAGCGAACAGGAUAGAU